AUACGUAGGGAGCGAGCGUUGUCCGGAAUUACUGGGUGUAAAGGGCGUGUAGGCGGGCUGUCAAGUCAGAUGUGAAAUUCCCGGGCUUAACCUGGGCGCUGCAUUUGAAACUGAUGGUCUUGAGUGCUGGAGAGGAAAGCGGAAUUCCUAGUGUAGCGGUGAAAUGCGUAGAUAUUCGGAGGAACACCAGUGGCGAAGGCGGCUUACUGGUCCAUUACUGACGCUGAGGUGCGAAAGCGUGGGGAGC
RNAcentral lists this ribosomal RNA (247 nucleotides) under uncultured bacterium. RNAcentral describes it as "partial 16S ribosomal RNA". It matches the Rfam family "Bacterial small subunit ribosomal RNA", at positions 523 to 769 of the family's 1533-position model. The record is from RNAcentral.